Molecule: ribosomal RNA, 597 nt
Filed under: Haplosporida sp.
Lineage: Eukaryota; Endomyxa; Ascetosporea; Haplosporida
Description: SSU rRNA
Rfam family: Eukaryotic small subunit ribosomal RNA
Source: RNAcentral
UGCGGCUUAAUUUGAGCCAACACGGGAAAACUUACCAGGUCCAGACAUAGUAAGGAUUGACAGAUCGAAGUUCUUUCUUGAUUCUAUGCAUGGUGGUGCAUGGCCGUUCUUAGUCGGUGGAGUGAUUUGUCUGGUCAAUUCCGAUAACGGACGAGACCUCAGCCAUCUUAAUAGCUGUCGCUACGCCUUAGCGCUUACCCCGGUAAGAUCAGCUUCUUAGAGGGACAAUCUGCGUCCAGCAGAUGGAAGACUGAGGCAAUAACAGGUCAGUGAUGCCCUUAGAUGCUCUGGGCUGCACGCGCGCUACAAUGAUGCAUUCAACGAGUUUAACCUUGCCUGAGAAGGCUGGGUAAUCUUCAAAGUGCAUCUCAGUUGGGAUAGAUGAUUGCAAUUUUUCAUCUUGAACAAGGAAUGUCUAGUAAGCGCAAGUCAUCAACUUGCAUUGAUUACGUCCCUGCCCUUUGUACACACCGCCCGUCGCUCCUACCGAUUGAAUAAUCCGGUGAAUUGGGUGGAUGAAGGAAAUCGUUCCGGCGAAUUCCCUCAAAAGCUCCAUAAACCUUAUUAUUUAGAGGAAGGACAAGUCGUAACAAGGGA